Molecule: long non-coding RNA, 1765 nt
Filed under: Equus caballus (horse)
Lineage: Eukaryota; Metazoa; Chordata; Mammalia; Perissodactyla; Equidae
Description: lncRNA (ENSECAG00000045687.1)
Source: RNAcentral
GAUUUUGAUUUUGCAGCCAAGGUUCAGAACUCCUGGGAGGAGAAAUGUUUCUCUUUAGAAUGGGAAGAUCUCAGGUAGAAUGAAGCUUAAAGUGCAAAAGAUUGCCUGGAUAUGUUCAGCAAGUCUAUUCAUCAUGGCUUAAUUGUUCACGAUGCACCAGGCACUGUGUGUGGAACUGGGUAUAAAGAAGAAAGGGACAGGAUACCUGAUUACAGGUAUCAGGAAGCUGAAGGAAGAGACCUGUGAACAACCAACAGGACAUCAAAAUGCUGGCCAAUGCCUAUGCCAGGGGCGUUGUUGGACCUAAACUCUUCAGAGUUCCUAAGGGGAUCUCUUCUAGCUCUGAGCCCAUGCCAAACUGAAUAUAUUUGAAGGAACUGAGCGGAGCUCCCACUUCAAGUGUCAGGGUCAGAGGAGCGGUGGUGAAGUGCCUCAGUACAUCACUUGAGUGGAAGAGCUUUCCAGUUAAUAUACUUAGGAUUUACAUGAGGUUUAUCUCCAGCCAGUGUGAGAUCUGAAAGCAGUUUCAACAGAGCAGAUUCAAGAAAUAAAAGACCAGACCCCGCACUAUGACAAAAGGGAGAUUAUCCAAGUAGGUCUAAUUGCAUCACACAGGCCCCAACAUGCAGAGGAAGAAGGAGAAAGUCAGGGAGAUUUGAAGUGUGAAAAGAACUUGAUGCGCGUUGCUGGCUUUGAAGAUAAAAAGAGCAAUAUUAGAAGAAAUGCACUUGGCCUUAAGGAGCAGAGCCUUACCCUCACCCCUCUGCCCUCAACUGACAGCAAGUAAGGAAAUGGGGACCUUAGUCCCGCUGAAGCCUGGAACUGUAUUCUGCCAAUAACAUAAAUGAGCAUGGAAGCGAACUCUUCUCCAGAUGCUCUAGAAAGGACUAGCCCAUCUGAGCCUUUGAAUUCACCCUGGUGAGACUCUGAACAGAGGAACCUGUUGAGCCUACCUGGAUUUCUGACCUACAGAAACUUCGAGAUAACAAACGGAUGUUGUUCUAGACUACUAAGUCUUUGCGAAUUUGUAUGCAGCAUAGGAAACCAGUACAGUGAGAGAACAGUCAACAUACAGCGCUGUCAUUUUCUUGUUUCUGAUGAUCAGAUGAGACAACUGUAAAGCUUUCUCUUGGGAACAAGGGAUUAAGAUAGGCUCUCAAGAGACUUUUCAUUCUACACAUAAAGAUGGCAAAAUAAAGUUUUAUUUUUAGUGCUGUGAAUGGUCCUCAGUAUCUAUGCUAAUUUGAAGUCUUGUUUCCAAUAUCUAAGUGAUAACAAAAUUUAGUUGAAUAUUGUGACAUUUAUAUUGAAUGAGGUUAGUAUAUUGUGAGGUGGGGACCAAAGAUGACACUUUGCAACUCUUGGUUUUAAAAUCAGUUGACAGAACAUAGAUAUGCCUGAUAAAGUUGUCAAAAAUCUCUUCCUUUGAAAGUGGGCACUAUGUAUCAAGUAAGACUGAAUAAUAAAAAAUAUUAUCAUGAAAAGAAAAAACUGAGCAGUUGUCCAACUUAGGGCCAAACUAUAUUGAAUGUCUCAUCUUAAAAAUUGAAUGAUUUUUGUCUGAGUUUCUGUAAUUUAAUAUAGAUCCAAGCACACACAUACACACACACAAACAACUUGAAAUAUUUUAAGCUAACUAUUCUUUCUGCAAGUGUGUAUAUGCUGUUUAAUUGUGAUGUGUUCUUAGUGAAAUGCUAAUGUAAGAAAAAGAAAGAUUUUCCCGAGUGGCUUACUUUAAUAAAAGUAAAAUGAAUUUCAUAUAGAU